GGCGUGCCUAAUACAUGCAAGUCGAGCGAACUUAUGAGAAGCUUGCUUCUCUGAUGUUAGCGGCGGACGGGUGAGUAACACGUGGGUAACCUACCUAUAAGACUGGGAUAACUCCGGGAAACCGGGGCUAAUACCGGAUAAUAUAUUGAACCGCAUGGUUCAAUGUUGAAAGACGGUUUCAGGCUGUCACUUAUAGAUGGACCCGCGCCGUAUUAGCUAGUUGGUAAGGUAACGGCUUACCAAGGCAACGAUACGUAGCCGACCUGAGAGGGUGAUCGGCCACACUGGAACUGAGACACGGUCCAGACUCCUACGGGAGGCAGCAGUAGGGAAUCUUCCGCAAUGGGCGAAAGCCUGACGGAGCAACGCCGCGUGAGUGAUGAAGGUCUUAGGAUCGUAAAACUCUGUUGUUAGGGAAGAACAAAUUUGUUAGUAACUGAACAAGUCUUGACGGUACCUAACCAGAAAGCCACGGCUAACUACGUGCCAGCAGCCGCGGUAAUACGUAGGUGGCAAGCGUUAUCCGGAAUUAUUGGGCGUAAAGCGCGCGUAGGCGGUUUCUUAAGUCUGAUGUGAAAGCCCACGGCUCAACCGUGGAGGGUCAUUGGAAACUGGGGAACUUGAGUGCAGAAGAGGAGAGUGGAAUUCCAUGUGUAGCGGUGAAAUGCGCAGAGAUAUGGAGGAACACCAGUGGCGAAGGCGGCUCUCUGGUCUGUAACUGACGCUGAUGUGCGAAAGCGUGGGGAUCAAACAAGAUUAGAUACCCUGGUAGUCCACGCCGUAAACGAUGAGUGCUAAGUGUUAGGGGGGUUUCCGCCCCUUAGUGUUGCAGAUAACGCAUUAAGCACUCCGCCUGGGGAGUACGACCGCAAGGUUGAAACUCAAAGGAAUUGACGGGGACCCGCACAAGCGGUGGAGCAUGUGGUUUAAUUUGAAGCAACGCGAAGAACCUUACCAAAUCUUGACAUCCUUUGACCGCUCUAGAGAUAGAGUUUUCCCCUUCGGGGGACAAAGUGACAGGUGGUGCAUGGUUGUCGUCAGCUCGUGUCGUGAGAUGUUGGGUUAAGUCCC
Molecule: ribosomal RNA, 1071 nt
Filed under: uncultured bacterium
Lineage: Bacteria
Description: bacterial SSU rRNA
Rfam family: Bacterial small subunit ribosomal RNA
Source: RNAcentral